This 468-nucleotide ribosomal RNA is filed under the name uncultured bacterium. RNAcentral's name for it is "partial 16S ribosomal RNA". It matches the Rfam family "Bacterial small subunit ribosomal RNA", at positions 28 to 507 of the family's 1533-position model. The record is from RNAcentral.
GACGAACGCGGGCUGCGUGCUGAACACAUGCAAGUCGAACGGAAAGGCCCUGCUUUUGUGGGGUGCUCGAGUGGCGAACUGGUGAGUAACACGUUAGUAACCUUCCCUUUACUUUUGGAUAACUUCAGGAAACUUGGACUAAUACCGGAUAGGAGCUCCUGCUGCAUGGUGGGGGUUGGAAAGUUUAGGCGGCUGGGGAUGGACUCGCGGCUUAUCAGCUUGUUGGUGGGGUAGUGGCUUACCAAGGCUUUGACGGGUAGCCGGCCUGAGCGGGUGACCGGCCACAUUGGGACUGAGAUACGGCCCAGACUCCUACGGGAGGCAGCAGUGGGGAAUAUUGCACAAUGGGCGGAAGCCUGAUGCAGCAACGCCGCGUGCGGGAUGAAGGCCUUCGGGUUGUAAACCGCUUUCGCCUGUGACGAAGCGUGAGUGACGGUAAUGGGUAAAGAAGCACCGGCUAACUACGUG